RNAcentral lists this ribosomal RNA (2967 nucleotides) under Omnitrophica WOR_2 bacterium GWF2_38_59. RNAcentral's name for it is "bacterial LSU rRNA". It matches the Rfam family "Bacterial large subunit ribosomal RNA". The record is from RNAcentral. Lineage: Bacteria; Pseudomonadati; Candidatus Omnitrophota. RNAcentral also lists the same sequence under 2 other names.
UGGUCAAGCUACUAAGAGUUUAUGAUGAAUGACUUGGUAGACUCAGGCGAUGAAGGACGUGGUAAGCAGCGAAAUGCUUCGGGGAGUCGCAAACAGGCUUUGAUCCGAAGAUAUCCGAAUGGGAUAACCCAUCCAGAGUUAAACCUGGAUAUGCCAUACUGAAUACAUAGGUAUGGUAAGCGAACGAGGUGAACUGAAACAUCUAAGUAACCUCAGGAAAAGAAAACGAAAGUGAUUCCCAGAGUAGCGGCGAGCGAAAAGGGAAGAGGCUAAACCUUUACAUUUAUGUGAAGGGGUUGAGGGACCUCAAUGUGGGACUGGCGAUAAUAAUAGAAAUGUCUGGGAAGGCAUACCAAAGAAGGUGAAAGUCCUGUAUGUGACAUUAUUAAUAGCUCUAGAGGUAUCCCAAGUACUACGGGGCACGGGGAAUCCUGUAGGAAUCCAGCCCGACCAUGGGCUAAGCCUAAAUACUCGAGUCUGACCGAAAGUGCACUAGUACCGUGAGGGAAAGUUGAAAAGAACCCCGGAAGGGGAGUGAAAUAGAAUCUGAAAUCAUAAACUUACAAGCGGUCGAAGCCCUAUGCAUGUCUUCGGGCAUGAAUGGGUGACGGCGUACCUAUAGCAUAAUGGACCAACAAGUUAAUGUGUGUUGCAAGCUUAAGAUCUAAUGGAUCGUAGGCGUAGCGAAAGCGAGUGUUAACUGCGCGAUUAAGUAACACAUAUUAGACGCGAAACCGGGUGAUCUAUCCAUGGCCAGGUUGAAGCUUUGAGAAAUCAAAGUGGAGGACCGAACACAAGUCAGUUGAAAAUGGCUGUGAUGAGCUGUGGAUCGGAGCGAAAGACUAAUCAAACUCGGCAAUAGCUCGUUCUCCUCGAAAUAGUUCUAGGACUAGCCUCGGAUAAAUUAAAUAAUAGGGGUAGAGUUACUGAAUAGGCUAGGGGGCUUACCAGCCUACCAACCCUAACCAAACUCCGAAUACUAUUAUUUGUACUCCGGGAGUCAGACUUUGAGGGCUAAGCUUCAAGGUCGAAAGGGAAACAGCCCAGACCAACGGUUAAGGUCCCAAAUAUACGCUAAGUGGUAAAGGAAGUGAAGUCACACAGACAGCCAGGAUGUUGGCCCAGAGGCAGCCAUCAUUUAAAGAGUGCGUAACAGCUCACUGGUCGAGUGAUUUUGCGCCGAAAAUGAUCGGGGCUCAAGCGUAUAACCGAAACCAUGGCUUACGUGACACUGCGGUGUCAUUUAGGGGUAGAGGAGCGUUGUGUCAAGCGAUGAAGCUAUACCGAAAGGAGUAGUGGAGUAGACACUAGUGAUACUGUUGGUAUAAGUAGCGAAAACUACGGCGAGAAACCGUAGCGCCGAAAAUCGAAGGGUUCCUGGGGAAGGUUAAUCCGCCCAGGGUUAGUCGAUCCUAAGGCGAGGCCGAAAGGCGUAGUCGAUGGAUAUCAGGUUAAUAUUCCUGAACUAAUUAUGAAACGUUAUCAGCUUAUGAUGACGCAGGAGGCUAAGUGAUCGGAGUGUUGGAUGUCUCCGUCUAAACUUGUAGUCCCGCCUUAAAACGGGAUGAGGAGUGAUGGGGAGCCGAAGCUACGGCAGAGGUGAAGUCACUGAUGCCACGCUGUCAAGAAAAUCUCAUAAGUGAGGAUCAUAAUUAUUCGUACCGGAAACCGACACAGGUAGAUACCCAGAAUAUGGGAAGGCGCUCGAGAUAACUCUCCUUAAGGAACUCGGCAAACUGGCCCCGUAACUUCGGGAGAUGGGGUGUCCUCUUAUUGUAGGUGCUUGCCACCGAAGGUAAGAGGAUCACAGUAAAGAAGCCCGGCCGACUGUUUAGUAAAAACACAGCACUCUGCUAAGUCGCAAGACAAUGUAUAGGGUGUGACACCUGCCCGGUGCUGGAAGGUUAAGGGGAUCGGUCAUCCACUUGAUGGAGAAGCUGAGAACUGAAGCCCCAGUAAACGGCGGCCGUAACUAUAACGGUCCUAAGGUAGCGAAAUUCCUUGUGGGGUAAGUUCCCACGCGCACGAAUGGUGUAACGAGUUGGGCGCUGUCUCAAGGAGAGACUCGGCGAAAUUGUAGUGGCGGUGAAGAUGCCGCCUACCCGCACCUAGACGAAAAGACCCCGGAACCUUUACUGUAGUCUGGUAUUGAAUUUGGGUGCUGUUUGUGUAGGAUAGGUGGGAGGCUGUGAAGGUAUCGCGCUAGCGACGCCAGAGCCAUCGGUGAAAUACCACCCUUAUAGUUCUUAGAUUCUAAUUCCGAAUCCCUUGAAUCAGGGCGCAAGACAGUGCCAGAUGGGCAGUUUGCUUGGGGCGAGUCCCUUCUAAAAUGUAACGAAGGGGUCCAAAGGUCUCCUCAAGACGGUUGGCAAUCGUCUGUAGAGUGCAUAGGCAUAAGGAGGCUUAACUGCGAGUCCGACAGGACGAGCAGAUACGAAAGUAGGGCUAAGUGAUCCGGCGGUAGAUUAUGGGAUUGCCGUCGCUCAACGGACAAUAGGUACUCCGGGGAUAACAGGCUGAUAGCGUUCGAGAGUUCAUAUCGACAACGCUGUUUGGCACCUCGAUGUCGGCUCACCUUAUCCUGGGGCUGAACAAGGUCCCAAGGGUCCGGCUGUUCGCCGGUUAAAAAGGUACGCGAGCUGGGUUUAGAACGUCGUGAGACAGUUCGGUCUCUAUCUGGUGUGGGCGUUCGAUACUUGAAGGGGAAAACUUCCUAGUACGAGAGGACCGGGAGUUACAGACCACUGGUGUUCCAGUUAUCCUGCCAAGGGUAAUGGCUGGGUAGCCACGUCUGGAAGGGAUAAGCGCUGAAAGCAUAUAAGUGCGAAGCCAACCUCAAGAUAAGGUAUCGUUUUCACUUCGGUGAAUAAAGGCUCCUGGUAGACUACCAGGUUGAUAGGUUGCAUGUGUAAGGGCAGUAAUGCCUUCAGCUAAGCAAUACUAAUUGGCCGAAUGCUUGACCUUAUU